RNAcentral lists this ribosomal RNA (290 nucleotides) under uncultured bacterium. Its description in RNAcentral is "partial 16S ribosomal RNA". It matches the Rfam family "Bacterial small subunit ribosomal RNA", at positions 334 to 621 of the family's 1533-position model. The record is from RNAcentral.
UUCUCCUACGGGACGCAGCAGUGAGGAAUAUUGGUCAAUGGGCGGGAGCCUGAACCAGCCAAGUCGCGUGAGGGAUGACGGCCCUAUGGGUUGUAAACCUCUUUUGCCGGGGAGCAAAGUGCCGCACGUGUGCGGUUUGGAGAGUACCCGGAGAAAAAGCAUCGGCUAACUCCGUGCCAGCAGCCGCGGUAAUACGGAGGAUGCGAGCGUUAUCCGGAUUUAUUGGGUUUAAAGGGUGCGUAGGCGGGUUAUCAAGUCAGCGGUAAAAUCGUGGAGCUCAACCCCAUCCA